GCUCAGAUAGCUUAAAUGGUAGAGUAAAACACUGAAAAUGUUUGGGUUAUUAGUUCAAAUCUGAUUCUGAGCA
This 73-nucleotide transfer RNA is filed under the name Tethya actinia. Its description in RNAcentral is "tRNA-Phe". It matches the Rfam family "tRNA". From Rfam's summary of the family: Transfer RNA (tRNA) molecules are approximately 80 nucleotides in length. Their secondary structure includes four short double-helical elements and three loops (D, anti-codon, and T loops). The record is from RNAcentral. RNAcentral also lists the same sequence under 1 other name. Lineage: Eukaryota; Metazoa; Porifera; Demospongiae; Tethyida; Tethyidae.